Small nuclear RNA from Eptesicus fuscus (big brown bat), 104 nucleotides. The record is from RefSeq and is a predicted model, not a curated record. Lineage: Eukaryota; Metazoa; Chordata; Mammalia; Chiroptera; Vespertilionidae.
GUGCUCGCUUCAGCAGCACGUAUACUAAAAUCGGAACGGUACGAAGAUUAGCAUGGCCCCUGCACAAGGAUGACCUGCAAGUUCGUGAAGGGUUCAGAGUAAUU